RNAcentral lists this ribosomal RNA (841 nucleotides) under Platychora ulmi. Its description in RNAcentral is "eukaryotic LSU rRNA". It matches the Rfam family "Eukaryotic large subunit ribosomal RNA", at positions 84 to 943 of the family's 3401-position model. The record is from RNAcentral. Lineage: Eukaryota; Fungi; Ascomycota; Dothideomycetes; Pleosporales; Didymellaceae.
UAACGGCGAGUGAAGCGGCAACAGCUCAAAUUUGAAAUCUGGCGUCUUUGGCGUCCGAGUUGUAAUUUGCAGAGGGCGCUUUGGCAUUGGCAGCGGUCCAAGUUCCUUGGAACAGGACGUCACAGAGGGUGAGAAUCCCGUACGUGGUCGCUAGCCUUUACCGUGUAAAGCCCCUUCGACGAGUCGAGUUGUUUGGGAAUGCAGCUCUAAAUGGGAGGUAAAUUUCUUCUAAAGCUAAAUACUGGCCAGAGACCGAUAGCGCACAAGUAGAGUGAUCGAAAGAUGAAAAGCACUUUGGAAAGAGAGUUAAAAAGCACGUGAAAUUGUUGAAAGGGAAGCGCUUGCAGCCAGACUUGCCUGUAGUUGCUCAUCCGGGUUUUUACCCGGUGCACUCUUCUAUAGGCAGGCCAGCAUCAGUUUGGGCGGUUGGAUAAAGGUCUCUGUCAUGUACCUCUCUUCGGGGAGAACUUAUAGGGGAGACGACAUGCAACCAGCCUGGACUGAGGUCCGCGCAUCUGCUAGGAUGCUGGCGUAAUGGCUGUAAGCGGCCCGUCUUGAAACACGGACCAAGGAGUCUAACAUCUAUGCGAGUGUUUGGGUGUCAAGCCCGAACGCGUAAUGAAAGUGAACGGAGGUGGGAACCUUUCGGGGUGCACCAUCGACCGAUCCUGAUGUCUUCGGAUGGAUUUGAGUAAGAGCAUAGCUGUUGGGACCCGAAAGAUGGUGAACUAUGCUUGAAUAGGGUGAAGCCAGAGGAAACUCUGGUGGAGGCUCGCAGCGGUUCUGACGUGCAAAUCGAUCGUCAAAUUUGGGCAUAGGGGCGAAAGACUAAUCGAACUAU